GAAGUAUCCUCACCUAACAAUAUUAGAGUAGAAGACGAUAGAAUAUGUGUGGAUGUAAGGCGUAGUAGGAGACCAAUGAUCGAGUGUAACAGUAAGUCGUUGCUCACAAGUCCUUUUCAUGGUUUCCUUCUUACAACUUUCCUGAGAAAAUUCUUGUCACUUUCCUAAGAAAAGUAAACAAAAAAAGAUUAAAACUUGGGUUUCUCAUAAGGUGCUUCACUUAUCCACUAUUUCUCCAUUUCUAAACAGACUGUGUUUGCAUAGUAAUCAAUCUUCAACAACUUAGUUUGCACUUUUGCAAUGGAAAUCCAAAGCAGCUCUUCAACUCCGAUGAUAUGGAAAUAUGAUGUGUUUGUGAGCUUUAGAGGUGAAGACACAAGAAACAACUUCACUGAUCAUCUGUUUGGUGCUCUCUAUGACAAAGGCUUUGUUCCUUUCAAAGAUGACACCAUGCUAAGAAAAGGUAAAAAUAUAUCCACUGAGCUUAAACAAGCCAUUGAAGGAUCACAAAUUCUGAUUGUGGUCUUCUCAAAAAACUAUGCUUCUUCCACAUGGUGCUUACAAGAACUGGUAAAAAUUGCUGAUUGCAUUGAAGGAAAGAGGCAGAUUGUUCUGCCUGUUUUCUGUGAUGUGACUCCAUCUGAAGUGCGGAAACAAAGCGGAAAUUAUGGAAAAGCUUUUCUGAAGCAUGAAAAAAGAUUCAAAGAAGAUUUACAAAUUGUUCAAAGAUGGAGGGAAGCUCUAGCACAAGUGGCCGAUCUCUCUGGAUGGGAUGUAACAAAUAAGCCACAAGAUGCACAGAUUGGAGAAGUAAUUAAACAAGUAACAUGCACAUUGAGUUACAAGUUUUCAACUAUACCGGAUGAUGUAGUUGGGAUACAGUCACCGUUGAAAGAAUUAGAAAAACUUCUAGUUUUGGACUCGAAUGGUGAUGUUCGAGUGCUAGGGAUUUGUGGAAUGGGUGGACUAGGAAAGUCGACUCUUGCUACUUUUUUGUAUCAGAGAAUCUCUAACCAAUUUGAUGCAACCUGUUUUAUUGAUGAUAUAAGUAAACUUCUUAGGGAGCAGAGUGCAAUGGAGGCUCAAAAACAAAUUCUUAGUCAAACUCUAAAUGAGGAAAAUCUUCAGUUGUCAAAUCUUCCCACGACAACUAAUUGGAUACAAACUAGACUACGCCACAAAAAGGCCCUCAUAGUUCUUGAUAAUGUCGAUGAAGUGAAACAGCUGUACAAAUUGGCUUUGAAACAUGGAUCUCUAGGUGCUGGAAGUAGAAUCAUCAUAAUUUCUAGGGAUGAACAUAUCUUGAGAGAGUAUCCAGUGGAUGAAGUUUACAAAGUUCAACUCUUGAAAAGUCAAGAUGCUCUUCAAUUGUUUUGCAUAAAAGCUUUCAAAUGUGAUGAUGUAAUGAGUGAUGAAUACAUUGACUUGACGAAUGAAGUCUUGGAAUAUGCUGGCCGCUUGCCAUUAGCAAUAAACGUAUUGGGUUCAUUUUUGUUUGGUCGAGAUGUUUCUGAAUGGAGAAGUGCAUUGGCUAGACUGAGAGAAUAUCCAGAAAAGGAUAUUUUGGAUGUGCUUCGAGUAAGUUUUAAUGCAUUGAAUGAUGCAGAGAAGGAAAUAUUUUUAGAUAUUUCUUGUUUAUUUGAUGGAUAUGUAUCAAAUAAUGACAAGAAGAUUCUGGAUAUUCGUGGAUUUCAUCCAGAUAUUGGUAUACCCGUUCUCAUUGAUAAAUCACUACUCGAAGUUACUAAAUUUGGGGAUUUUAAAAUGCAUGACUUGUUGAAAGAGCUGGGCAAGAAAAUUGUUCGAGAAAAAUCACCAAAAGAGCCAAGAAAGUGGAGCAGGUUAUGGGACUACAAGGAUUUCCACAAUGUUAUGUUAGAAAAUCAGGCAACAGACACUCUUCAAGCAGUAGCUAUUAAACGACGGGGUCACAAGUUUCUAGAAACAACCAUGAGGGUUGAUGCUUUAUCGAAAAUGAGCCAACUUAAGCUGCUGCUAAUUCUUGAGGAUGUGAACUUUUUAGGAAGUCUCAAUCAUCUUUCAAAUGAAUUAGGAUACCUUCAUUGGGAAAAUUAUCCUUUCAAGUGUUUGCCACCAAGUUUUCAACCAUAUAAACUUGUUGAAUUGAUCAUGCCUCAUAGUAGCAUCAAACAAUUGUGGGAAGGCACAAAGCCUCUACACAGUUUAAAACGUAUGAAUCUCUCUGACUCCAGAAGUCUUAUUAAGCUACCGGAUUUUACGGAGGCCCCAAAUCUUGAGUCCCUGAAUCUUGAAGGAUGCAUAAAACUUGUGCGGAUCAAUGAGUCCAUUGGCACCCUAAGAAAGCUUGUCGGUUUGAACUUGAAGGAUUGUAUAAAUCUAGUCAGCAUUCCCAGUAGCAUUUUUCAUCUCAGUUCUCUUGAAGGUCUAUAUCUUUCUGGCUGCUCAAAAUUACUUAGGAAUAAUCUGUUAGAGAAACAGAGGGAUGCAGAACACUUGGAGAAGCUUGAAACAAGUGAAAGUAGUAUCCAACGACAGUCAUCUUCAUCCUUCUACAGAUUUCUAAAGUUCCCCAUCCAUUCUCGGAGACAUGAAGAUUCAGUUCGUUCAUUGCUGCCUUAUUUGCCUCGUUUACCAUGUUUGAAAUGGCUUGACCUAAGCUUCUGCAAUCUUGUUCAGAUCCCUGAUGCUAUUGGGUUGUUACACUCUUUAGAAUACCUAGAUUUGGAGGGAAACCAUUUUGUUACACUACCUUGUAGCAUUAAACAACUUUCAAAACUUAGAUGUUUGAACUUGGAGCAUUGUAAGGAGUUGAGAUAUUUGCCUGAGCUCCCAUCAAGAAGUCAGAGCGAGAGACAGGUCGGUUGGGCAAUAUUGUGUAUUUUCAACUGCCCCAAAUUAUGUCUGACAAAGAGCUUUUAUAGAAUCGUUUUUUCUUGGAUGAUCCAAUCUGCUAAGCUGCUCAUGCAAUCCUCUUUCUCCUCCUGGGUUCCAUUGGAUGCAAUUCAAAUUGUUAUUCCUGGAGGUGAAAUUCCAAGGUGGUUCAGCGAGCAAAAUGUGGGUAAUUCAAUACGGGUGGAUUCAUCUCCCGUUAUGCGGAACCAAAAUUGGAUAGGUCUUGCUUGCUGUUUUACAUUUGUCACGCAUAAAGAUCCAACUAAUUUGAACGAUCCAAUUUAUUCUCUGUUUUACUGUUUGAAACAUGAGCGGGACAGUUAUGAAAUUCCGAUACAUUUCAGGAAAGAUCUGAUCACAGUUGAAUUUGAUCACAUGGUGCUACUCUAUUUUCCUCGGGAACGAUUAAUCAAUUCGAAUCAAUUAGUCGAAUUUGUAUCUAUUGACACGCAUCCCCAAGAAUUGCAUGUCGAGGUGAAAAAGUGUGGGUAUAAGUGGGUAUAUGAGGAAGAUUUGGAUCAAUUAAUCCACAGUAUGGAGCACAAUGGGAAUUCGUCUGUUCUAGAGGGCAAUCUCUUAACAAACGAGUCACCAGAUGAGCUAAAUCAUGGAAAAGCAGCUUAGCAAUUUCAUUUCAGAUACAUACAUUUCUGUCAAACAAAUUCUUAUCCAUUUCAGCAAGUUGUCAAGAUCUCAGGGAGAAAAGGUACAGACUCGACUCUGGCAUAGAAAAGACUUGCCGAUCACGGACUCAUCCGGGCAUCUUGAAGUUGUUGGGAGCACUCCUCUUGAUCCUCCAUAGUUAUUCACAGGUAGCUGAGUAGGAGGUUGCUUCAGUUGCAGCUUGUACAGUUACUUCUUUUUGGUAGGCCUCCUACGGUUGGUGGCCAUGUUGAUGUCUUUUGUUGAUCUUUUUGGUAUUCUGCAGCUAUAGGGAAUAUGUAAUAGUCAUAUUUUGUAAAGUGUAAAAGCUCUAUGAUGUAUUUGAUGAUGUUGCUUCUUGGAUGUUGGAUAUGUAUAUAUUUGGAUUCUUGGCUGGAUUUUAAACCUCAUUGGCAGGUCUUGUUAUUUUGGGAAAUAAAGAUAUACAAAGGAAACUCUGUCGAAA
Lotus japonicus is the source of this 3982-nucleotide RNA transcript. It is a transcript of the gene named disease resistance protein Roq1-like, with no coding region annotated. The record is from RefSeq and is a predicted model, not a curated record. NCBI's taxonomy places the organism in Eukaryota, Viridiplantae, Streptophyta, Magnoliopsida, Fabales, Fabaceae. The transcript has 8 exons.